CCUGGAUCCAGCCAUGCCGCGUGAGUGAUGAAGGCCCUAGGGUUGUAAAGCUCUUUCACCGGUGAAGAUAAUGACGGUAACCGGAGAAGAAGCCCCGGCUAACUUCGUGCCAGCAGCCGCGGUAAUACGAAGGGGGCUAGCGUUGUUCGGAUUUACUGGGCGUAAAGCGCACGUAGGCGGACUUUUAAGUCAGGGGUGAAAUCCCGGGGCUCAACCCCGGAACUGCCUUUGAUACUGGAAGUCUUGAGUAUGGUAGAGGUGAGUGGAAUUCCGAGUGUAGAGGUGAAAUUC
RNAcentral lists this ribosomal RNA (291 nucleotides) under uncultured Ochrobactrum sp. Its description in RNAcentral is "partial 16S ribosomal RNA". It matches the Rfam family "Bacterial small subunit ribosomal RNA", at positions 381 to 689 of the family's 1533-position model. Lineage: Bacteria; Pseudomonadati; Pseudomonadota; Alphaproteobacteria; Hyphomicrobiales; Brucellaceae. The record is from RNAcentral.